This is a long non-coding RNA of Cervus elaphus (red deer), 665 nucleotides long. RefSeq lists it as uncharacterized. Lineage: Eukaryota; Metazoa; Chordata; Mammalia; Artiodactyla; Cervidae. The record is from RefSeq and is a predicted model, not a curated record. The transcript has 2 exons.
ACGGCGCCCUUCCUAGAAUGAGCCAAUGAGGAAGGCGAAAAGGGGCGCGCGGGCAAAAAAGGCCCGGCGUGGCCCCGGGUGCCAAAGUUCCGUGUUCCGUGCCGCAGAAGUUUCUCGGGGUCUUAGAAUGGGCUCUUCCUGCCGUCAUCUCCGGAUGGUACCCACUGUAUCCAGCUGCAGGCUGAGAGCCUUGGAAAAUAAUGAGAUGUAUCCAUGAAAGCCUCGUAAGGAUAGUUAUGAGACCACCCUGGAGAUUAAUUGGCUCAUGCCUGCAACUUGAAGAGCAGAAACUUGAGUAUUAAUAAUAGUGAUCUAGGGGGCUUCCGUGGUGGCUCAGUGGUUAAGAAUCCGCCGGCCAGUGCAGGAGACAUGGGUUCGAUCCCUGGUCCGGGAAGAUCCCACAUGCUGCAGUGCAGCUAAGCCUGUGCACCACAGCUAUUGAGCCUGCACUCCAGGGCUCGGGAACAGCAACGACUGAAGCCCAAAUGCCUAGAGUCCAGGCUCCACAACAAGAGAGGCCACCCUAGUGAGGAGACCAAGCACCUCAAUGAAGAGUAGCCCCUGCUCCCUGCAACUAGAGAAAAGCCCAUGCAGCAACGAAGACCCAGCACAGCCCAAAAUAAAUAAAAUUGUUAAAUAAUGAUCUAACAUCUUUGAAAGGAGAA